CAGUCGCCACGGUAAAACGGAGAGUGCAAGCGUUAAUCGGAUUUACUGGGCGUAAAGGGCGCGUAGGCGGCGCGGUAAGUCACUUGUGAAAUCUCUGAGCUUAACUCAGAACGGCCAAGUGAUACUGCUGUGCUAGAGUGCGGAAGAGGCAACCGGAAUUCUUGGUGUAGCGGUGAAAUGCGUAGAUAUCAAGAGGAACACCUGAGGCGAAGGCGGGUUGCUGGGCCGACACUGACGCUGAUGCGCGAAAGCCAGGGGAGCAAACGGGAUUAGAUACCCCAGUAGUCCCUGUCUCUUAUAC
RNAcentral lists this ribosomal RNA (301 nucleotides) under uncultured bacterium. RNAcentral's name for it is "partial 16S ribosomal RNA". It matches the Rfam family "Bacterial small subunit ribosomal RNA", at positions 509 to 807 of the family's 1533-position model. The record is from RNAcentral.